RNAcentral lists this ribosomal RNA (450 nucleotides) under uncultured bacterium. Its description in RNAcentral is "partial 16S ribosomal RNA". It matches the Rfam family "Bacterial small subunit ribosomal RNA", at positions 354 to 796 of the family's 1533-position model. The record is from RNAcentral.
GUGGGGAAUCUUCCGCAAUGGACGAAAGUCUGACGGAGCGACGCCGCGUGAGUGAAGAAGGCCUUCGGGUCGUAAAGCUCUGUCAUCAGGGACGAAUGGCCGGUGGAGUGGAAAGCCACCGGAUUGACGGUACCUGAGAAGGAAGCCACGGCUAACUACGUGCCAGCAGCCGCGGUAAUACGUAGGUGGCAAGCGUUGUCCGGAAUUAUUGGGCGUAAAGCGCGCGCAGGUGGGAUCUUAAGUCCAUUUUGAAAGUUCGGAGCUCAACUCCGUGAUGGGAUGGAAACUGGGAUUCUUGAGUACCGGAGAGGAAAGCGGAAUUCCCCGUGUAGCGGUGAAAUGCGUAGAUAUGGGGAGGAACACCAGUGGCGAAGGCGGCUUGCUGGAUAGUAACUGACGUUGAGGCUCGAAAGCGUGGGGAGCAAACAGGAUUAGAAACCCGGGUAGUCC